GACGAACGCUGGCGGCGUGCUUAACACAUGCAAGUCGAACGGAAAGGCCCUGCUUUUGUGGGGUGCUCGAGUGGCGAACGGGUGAGUAACACGUGAGUAACCUUCCCUUUACUUUGGGAUAACUUCAGGAAACUGUGGCUAAUACCGGAUAGGAGCUCCUGCUGCAUGGUGGGGGUUGGAAAGUUUCGGCGGUUGGGGAUGGACUCGCGGCUUAUCAGCUUGUUGGUGGGGUAGUGGCUUACAAAGGCUUUGACGGGUAGCCGGCCUGAGAGGGUGACCGGCCACAUGGGGACUGAGAUACGGCCCAGACUCCUACGGGAGGCAGCAGUGGGGAAUAUGGCACAAUGGGCGGAAGCCUGAUGCAGCAACGCCGCGUGCGAGAUGACGGCCUUCGGGUUGUAAACCGCUUUCGCCUGGGACGAAGCGUGAGUGACGGUAAUGGGUAAAGAAGCACCGGCUAACUACGUG
Molecule: ribosomal RNA, 468 nt
Filed under: uncultured bacterium
Lineage: Bacteria
Description: partial 16S ribosomal RNA
Rfam family: Bacterial small subunit ribosomal RNA
Source: RNAcentral